UCGUAACAAGGUCUCCGUAGGUGAACCUGCGGAGGGAUCAUUACAAGAACGCCCGGGCUUCGGCCUGGUUAUUCAUAACCCUUUGUUGUCCGACUCUGUUGCCUCCGGGGCGACCCUGCCUUCGGGCGGGGGCUCCGGGUGGACACUUCAAACUCUUGCGUAACUUUGCAGUCUGAGUAAACUUAAUUAAUAAAUUAAAACUUUUAACAACGGAUCUCUUGGUUCUGGCAUCGAUGAAGAACGCAGCGAAAUGCGAUAAGUAAUGUGAAUUGCAGAAUUCAGUGAAUCAUCGAAUCUUUGAACGCACAUUGCGCCCCCUGGUAUUCCGGGGGGCAUGCCUGUUCGAGCGUCAUUUCACCACUCAAGCCUCGCUUGGUAUUGGGCAACGCGGUCCGCCGCGUGCCUCAAAUCGUCCGGCUGGGUCUUCUGUCCCCUAAGCGUUGUGGAAACUAUUCGCUAAAGGGUGUUCGGGAGGCUACGCCGUAAAACAACCCCAU
This 497-nucleotide unclassified non-coding RNA is filed under the name Cladosporium allicinum. RNAcentral describes it as "sequence contains 18S rRNA gene, ITS1, 5.8S rRNA gene, ITS2, 28S rRNA gene". The stretch from base 199 to 352 matches the Rfam family "5.8S ribosomal RNA". The record is from RNAcentral. Lineage: Eukaryota; Fungi; Ascomycota; Dothideomycetes; Cladosporiales; Cladosporiaceae.